AGAGUUGGUCUAGAGGUUGCGGAAUCAUUUUAUCAAUGAUUCCGAGGAAAGUCCGAACUCCCGAAAGACCACACUUGCUGGAUAACGUCCAGUGCGCGCGAGCGUGAGGAUAGUGCCACAGAAAAAUACCGCCCCCUUUUUCAGUGUUGCCAAAGGCACGGCGUAGCCGUCCAGUAAACAGUGAUCAGUAAACAGUAACGAAAGUAAAUUCACUGAUAACUAAUAACUUUCCACUGAUAACUUUCCACUGAUAACUGAUAACUGAUCACUGAUAACUGAUUGGGGGUAAGGGUGCAAAGGUGCGGUAAGAGCGCACCAGCAGUAUCGAGAGGUACUGGCUCGGUAAACCCCGGUGGGGAGCAAGGUGGAGGGACAAAGGUUGGUCUUUUUCCUGUCCCGUUUUUAGGAACCGCUUGAGGUAAUUGGUAACAAUUAUCCCAGAUAGAUAACCUCUAUUCCAACAAAGGUAAAAGCAAUUUUACUGCUGUUGGGAAAUACAGAAUUCGGCUUAUGUUUGACUCUCUCC
This 526-nucleotide RNase P RNA is filed under the name Microcystis aeruginosa BLCC-F158. RNAcentral's name for it is "Microcystis aeruginosa BLCCF158 RNase P RNA component class A". It matches the Rfam family "Bacterial RNase P class A". From Rfam's summary of the family: Ribonuclease P (RNase P) is a ubiquitous endoribonuclease, found in archaea, bacteria and eukarya as well as chloroplasts and mitochondria. Its best characterised activity is the generation of mature 5'-ends of tRNAs by cleaving the 5'-leader elements of precursor-tRNAs. Lineage: Bacteria; Bacillati; Cyanobacteriota; Cyanophyceae; Chroococcales; Microcystaceae. The record is from RNAcentral.